RNAcentral lists this ribosomal RNA (235 nucleotides) under uncultured bacterium. Its description in RNAcentral is "partial 16S ribosomal RNA". It matches the Rfam family "Bacterial small subunit ribosomal RNA", at positions 99 to 334 of the family's 1533-position model. The record is from RNAcentral.
CGGACGGGUGAGUAACGCGUGGGUAACCUGCCUCAUACAGGGGGAUAACAGUUAGAAAUGACUGCUAAUACCGCAUAAGACCACAGCACCGCAUGGUGCAGGGGUAAAAACUCCGGUGGUAUGAGAUGGACCCGCGUCUGAUUAGGUAGUUGGUGGGGUAACGGCCUACCAAGCCGACGAUCAGUAGCCGACCUGAGAGGGUGAUCGGCCACAUUGGGACUGAGACACGGCCCAG